GCUGCGCGCUUCGUGGUGGAACGCUUCUGUGCUCCUUGGGCAAAUUGUGCCGAUGUGCCUGAGCGCUUCUGGCGGCACAGAUCGGUGGUUUGGAAAUUCUCUUUGCUUUCCCAGCCUUGCCCCGUUCCGCUGCUCCUUUUGUUCGCUCCGUGCUCCUCUCCCGACACGUCGCCGCAGAUUCGGCACGCUUCGCCGCUGCGGGGCCUCCCCUGCGCUGCGUGCUCCCCUGUGCGCUCCCACAUGGCCGCGCUUCGGUAUUUCGUUGCUGAAGAUUGCUACAAAGUGAGGGAGAGUUACAGCUGUGGCUCUUGUGUUGGAAUGCUGUCAGUAGCACAGUGCCUCCGCUCUUACUGCGUUGGCCCGCGAUGGUGGUGGGAUGGCAGCAGGGCUGAACCUUCCCCCAGUAGUGCUUACACGUGGCUGCCGUGUGAUGGACGGCAGUCUGACAAAAUGGUGUCUGGAGUGGAAGCGUGUAUGAAGCAAACGUGUGUCACUGAAUUACUCCUCCGUGAGGAGAAAAUGGCACUUGCUGACCUUCCUUGACACUUGCUGAACGUCGAUGGAGAGCAAACAGUAAAAGUGAGCACAGUGUGGCAGUGGGUGGUGCACUGCAGGAACGUGAAAUACACGGAACAGCAGUGUGAAAUACACAGCAUUGUGAAAUACACAUAGCAGCAACGUGAAAUACAAGCCACAGCCUGGAUGGCCAGGCACAGCUGUCAUCUCUGCUGGUGUGGAUUGUUGCAAGCAGGGCAUGCAGGUUUUUGUUCAUUGCUGGCAAAAAUGCAUUGCUAGUGGUAGUGACUGUGUUGAAAAAUAGUAUUUUGCAGCUGAGAAUGUUGUUUACCAAGUAGAGCUAUUGUGCUCUUCGUAUCUGCUGUAGUUUCCAUGGAAAUAAAUAGGAGGCAUUACUUUCAGAGAAACCUACAUUUUUUUAUCUUCUGUUUAGCUCUGAGCUCACUUAGUGUAUGUUAUAAUUUCAUUUGGACUCUGAAUUAUUUCCUCACCUAAAUUUCAGGUGCUUGAAGCAGGAUCAUUCGAAGUAUUUAGAGGUGAUCUCCUAUUUCUUUCCUUCCCUGCUACCCAUAGAAUCAUUUGUUGGAAGGGACACUUAAAGGCCACGUUGUCCAGCUCUCCUGCAAUGAACAGGGACACCUACAGCUGAUCAGAGAGCUCAGAGCCCCAUCCAGCUUCUCCUUGAAAGUCUUGGCAAGUGCUAAAAUUUGAUUUUGUGAAUGGUUUGUACAUAAAUAUUAAGGUGAUUUGUUACACAACAGUCAGUUAUACUCUUGAACCCUCCUUUCUGAAAUUUAUUCCAACUGUAUCAGUGCUGAUGGUUGUCUGUGCUGUGAAACUCAUUAUAUUGAGUGGUAGGAAAGCACACUUGUGCCAGUUGUAGCAGAGAAAGUGGAAAAGAGCAAAGCCAUUAUUUGCACAGCCUUAAUGAGUUGUGAAUCCUGAAAGGCCCCAGUUUCUAGGUUUCACCAUAUGGAGAUUGUUGCAACAUGAAGGCCUUUGCACACUCUGCAUUCAGAUGUACCUCAGAAUCUGCUGCUCUCCUAACUGAAGAUGAAUAAAUGAAGAUGAAUGAAGAAAUACCCGUUCAUUCUAGUGAAGAGGUGAAGGAAUCCUAAUCCUUUUGAGAAGAGAACUUCUCAGCUUUGUGACGGACAGAGUUUUACCUCAUGUAUACCUUCAGUGUAUAACUUCAAUGUCCCCAAAGAAUUGGGCCCAGUGAGGAGCACACAGAACCCUGUCAGUGACACUGAAAUGAUGGAUAACAAGCAGCUUGGAAAACUGCAGACCUAUACAGGAAUGGUACUUUCUGGUUAAGGGCUCUAUUCUGGCAUAAAGAAAUGCCAUAGCUUCAGGAUCAGUUACCACUACAGUGGGCCACAGCUCUCUUCCAAGGCAGGUGUGUGAAUUUUAAACAAGGGGAUGCACCCAAGCCUAGAGAGCAUUUCCAGGUGCAGCAAGCAAAGAUUUCCUAGUGGUAAUUAUUUCCCACCAACUCAGAUGGAAGGACAGCGUGGGUGCCUGACAAACGCUGAUAAGGAGAAUAUGCCAAGUCAUAUGACCAGAUAAGUCAGCACAGGCAACAUAAAGGACCGCAGUUAAAAGCUAGGGCUAGGACUUGGAGGAUGUGUAGGCAAACGGAAGGAGAGCCGGGGGAAGAAAAGCCGAAAUGGAUUCAUUCUCCGUCCUGGCUGGAGGAGGAGAGGAGCGGGGACGUGCGGGCUGCCUGCAGCUGCCUCUGUCCGGUGAGAAGUGCUCCCAGCCCCGCGGCUGACUCGGGCUCAGGAGUCCGCGCGGACUUUCGCUCUAAGCUGCCAAUCAAACCGCUAACCGCCACCACCCUGCGCCGGCACCGACAUGAGCUGAGGCACUGUGUUGUGCCAGGGCCACCUCUGCAGACCCCUCGGCCACCUCAGCCCUGAGCAUUGGCUGAACACAUCUGGAUAUUUCUAUUCAGCUCUGCAAACAGACAGAGAUACUCCAAGACUGCGUGUGAGACCAGAUGACGUGAAACUUUCUACCAUUAAACCCCUGUUCAGCUGUAGUCCAGAAGCGGGCAGCCCACAGCAGCCUGGGGAUGCUGACAGAAGAAGCCGAAAUGUUUUCAGCCAAACCGAUUUCUUGCCGGCAGCUUCGGAUGCUGUAGCUGGAACCAGAGCAGCCCAAGGAGCGAAGCAAACAAUUAAAACAUUUACAUGUUUGCUUCUUGAUAGACAUCUCUACGAGGCGAGAUUCUAUGAAGCCUGAGUGACUUCAGAAGGAGAAACUUAUUAGAAGAAAUCUUUGCCAUUAUAUGUAUAGAAGAAUUAUGAUGGUGGUGCCCUGCUGUUGAUCAGUCAAAUCUGUGGUGGGCCUAGAGAUAAGUCCUGUAAGUGUGGUGUACUGUAAAACAGCGGCUCCCAUUCAUUAGUGGCUUGUGUGUAAUAAACCACCCAAUGGAGGGGGAUGGGGAAGAGAGGGAAAGAGCAGCUGCAGUGUGCAGGAACAAACAACACAACUCAUUCUUGGGAGCCAAAACUUUCUAAUUUGCUGCUGGGCUGCUGGGAGCACUCAAAUUCUUUCUGAUAAUGUGCUCGUGCCCUCGGUGUCUCUCUCUAUGUUUCUGCUCUCCAGAAUCUGGAAUAGUUUCACUCCAAACAACAAGUGUGGACGCUGCUGAACAGGGAGGAGGAGGGGAACACAGCCACCCAGUGUUUGCAGACUCCAGCACAGCAAAGUGGUGGACUCGAGGCAAGUUCUGCCAUGGAAUGGCUGCUGCACGUAUCUGCUUGUGCAGUGGGUAAACAAGGCAUCACAUGGGCUGCAGGCUGAGCACGAGGCGCGUGGCUGACCUAUACGUGUAUGAAGCAUGCCGGAGGGACAGCGUAUUCCAAACGUUGUUAGAGCCUGGUGGGAUAUUCGGGAACUUCCCUCAAAAAGCUCAAACAAAACAAACGUCAAAUUGAUUGUAACUGAAAAAUCAUUUGGCUUAAUUUCUCCUGUUUUUCCACAAUUUCCAGUGAGUAUUUACAUAAGCGUAUUUCUACGUUGCCUUGCAUUGGAAAUGGCUUGUAAGUAUGUUCAUCAAGAUGUCAGUCAAUUAUAACUUGUUGCACCUGUUUGGACCUCAGUAGUUACUAAUUGUAACUGUGGAUUUUCAGCUGUGACUGUGCUGGUGCUCAGCCCCAGACCUGACUGCCCAUAGGACAAUAUUUCAAACUAGAAAUUAAAAUCACUGUGUGUGUUUCACAACUGCUCUCAUAGACCAAACCUUUGUGCUAGAGCUUGUACUGUCACAAGAAAGGGAAAUUGAUUUUGGAUUGAUGCUGCUCAGAAGGACCAUUAUACCCUUGCAGGAUCACACUGACUGCUUUUUCAGUGAUGUGCCAGGCUGUGAUGGUGCUUGGACUGUCUCCUAACAUUUCUAUAGACAAGGGCUACUUAAACAGCAACUUCAGGCUUGGGCCAAACUGCAAGUACUCUUUAUGUAGACAGGCGAAGUGUCAGACACAAAGUUUUUCACUUUAGUGCAGGAGAUCCACUCGCUUUCUCUUCCCUGACCUGGAGACCUGUGCCAGGCAUUGCCUGAGUCUUAACCCUUCAAUAGGAGGUGUCUCUCUGACACCUUGGCCAUAGUACCUAAUGGGUGCAGGUAAUGGGUGGCCAGUCAGACCUGGCCAAAUCCUGUGCUAGAUCUGAGCACAAACCAGUUCUACCAAAGGUUUAGGCAGUGAAGGAGCUGAAACUGGUUGCUCACCUGCCAAGCUGUACAAGGCCAGGAUGAGGCCCAGCCCUACAAGCUCUGCUUGUAGCAUUUUGGUAUUUCUGAUAAAGUCAUUUGGCAUUUUGAUUUCCCCAUGGGACAAACAGUGGGACAAUCUAAAAAUAAUAAAUAGGCUUCCUGCACAAAUACCUUGAAUCAGUGGAAGCUGAUGUUCUGUGAGUUUGCUGUGAAUCUGUUACUGCUUUUAUAUUUUCAUAAGGAUGUAGUCUAACCAUUGUUGGACAGAGGUAAACAUGAGUAACCCAGUUUUGUUCUUACACUUGGGACACUGCAAAUAGCUCAGAAGUCCUGAAGUUUUUGUGUCUAACCAGAUGAAACUGGGGGAAAUGAAAUAUUUCAUACUAAACUGAGGCAAAAUGUGCUUUACUGGUCUAUAAGGCAGUCUAAUAAUUUUGGGUUCAAAGAUGUCUAAUGUUGAAUUAUUAAAUGACUCAAUCUAGUUUUCUUUAAGAAAGGGUGAAUUAGUGAUACUAAUCUAUCAGCUGGAUCCAAACCAUUACAAAAACUGUCCUAGAAAAUAGAAUGAGAAGUAGACCAAAAACUCAGAACUCAGUCUUGCAAAUAAAAUAACAUUUUGUGACUGGUUGUUCACUAAUGCAUGUGAAAGAAGGGCUACAUGUUACAUGUCUUUUGUUGUUGACAGUGUGCCCAAUGCUGUAUGAUAAAUGUUUGAAUAGUAUCACCUUCUGUUCUGCCUCCUUCACCUACAGGAGCAGCUGUGGUGGUGAAGGGGCAGCGUGAGGCACUGCCAGCCCUGACUUCCUGCAGGUGUCCAUCCGGCACCUGAACCUCGGGCAGCACCGCGUCUGUGUCCUGUGCCUGGAACCAUGCAAGAACAAAGUUUGUUCUAAACGUGAAUUUAAUGUGCUUUCAGGUUUGACAGCCUCUUUUAAAAGGAAACGUUUAAGUUGAGCGAAAGGCACAUUUGUCUCUCCAAAUAAAUGGAAUUAUGGUUCAAAGAUCUGACUUAAUCCCGAGGCUCUUGCACUGUGCAGUAAGUAGGAAAGAAAGGGGAUUGCUCCGAGGAGCAGGGGUUAGCAGGAUCAGGGGCUGUUUUAUAUCAUCUCAUUUUCCUUCUGGUGUUUAAUAUACUUUCUUCUCAACUUGCACUGGCUGCUUGUAAAAAGACCCAGCAGUAUCAUACAUUAACUAAUGGCAAAUAAACUAUUAAUUGAAACUAAUGAAGGAUGGUACAAGGAGUUCCCAUCCAGCUUUCCUGCUAGGCAAAUUUGAUUAUUGUUAAGCAAACAAAAAUGCCAUUCUUCCAGAUGUAUUCUCUCAUAUGGUUUCAUCCUUUUUCAGUUCAUUUCAGGACUUUUCUCAAGUGCAUUUUACUUGUUAUAACUAUUUGCUCUUUUUCUACUUAAAAAAAAGAAAGUAUAUACAACUGUGUUUUAAAAUCUACAUUGACAUUUCAGUGAUUUGAAGGAAGAUGUUUACACAGUAACAGUGCCAUCUAUAUUCAUUGUAUCUCUGCAAACAAAAGUUCUGAUAAAAUUAAAAUAUGUAUGUGAUGGG
Molecule: long non-coding RNA, 5797 nt
Organism: Tympanuchus pallidicinctus (lesser prairie-chicken)
Lineage: Eukaryota; Metazoa; Chordata; Aves; Galliformes; Phasianidae
Exons: 8
Source: RefSeq, a predicted model, not a curated record